RNAcentral lists this ribosomal RNA (765 nucleotides) under uncultured Treponema sp. RNAcentral's name for it is "bacterial SSU rRNA". It matches the Rfam family "Bacterial small subunit ribosomal RNA", at positions 28 to 776 of the family's 1533-position model. Lineage: Bacteria; Pseudomonadati; Spirochaetota; Spirochaetia; Treponematales; Treponemataceae. The record is from RNAcentral.
AACGAACGCUGGCGGCGCGUCUUAAGCAUGCAAGUCGAACGGCAAGAGAGGAGCUUGCUUCUCUCCUAGAGUGGCGGACUGGUGAGGAACACGUGGGUAAUCUACCCUUAAGAUGGGGAUAGCUGCUAGAAAUAGCAGGUAAUACCGAAUACACUCAGUGCUUCAUAAGAGGUAUUGAGGAAAGGAAGCUACGGCUUCGCUUGAGGAUGAGCUUGCGUCCCAUUAGCUAGUUGGUGAGGUAACGGCCCACCAAGGCGACGAUGGGUAUCCGGCCUGAGAGGGUGAACGGACACAUUGGGACUGAGAUACGGCCCAAACUCCUACGGGAGGCAGCAGCUAAGAAUAUUCCGCAAUGGACGGAAGUCUGACGGAGCGACGCCGCGUGGAUGAAGAAGGCUGAAAAGUUGUAAAAUCCUUUUGUUGAUGAAGAAUAAGGGUGAGAGGGAAUGCUCAUCUGAUGACGGUAAUCGACGAAUAAGCCCCGGCUAAUUACGUGCCAGCAGCCGCGGUAACACGUAAGGGGCGAGCGUUGUUCGGAAUUAUUGGGCGUAAAGGGCAUGUAGGCGGUUAUGUAAGCCUGAUGUGAAAUCCUGGGGCUUAACCCUAGAAUAGCAUUGGGUACUGUGUAACUUGAAUUACGGAAGGGAAACUGGAAUUCCAAGUGUAGGGGUGGAAUCUGUAGAUAUUUGGAAGAACACCGGUGGCGAAGGCGGGUUUCUGGCCGAUAAUUGACGCUGAGAUGCGAAAGUGUGGGGAUCGAACAGG